GGGGUUGUGGCUCAGUGGUAGAGUGCUUGCCUAGCAUGCAUGAAAUACUGGGUUCCAUCCUCAGCACCA
RNAcentral lists this transfer RNA (69 nucleotides) under Ictidomys tridecemlineatus (thirteen-lined ground squirrel). RNAcentral's name for it is "Spermophilus tridecemlineatus (thirteen-lined ground squirrel) tRNA". It matches the Rfam family "tRNA". Rfam says of the family: Transfer RNA (tRNA) molecules are approximately 80 nucleotides in length. Their secondary structure includes four short double-helical elements and three loops (D, anti-codon, and T loops). Further hydrogen bonds mediate the characteristic L-shaped molecular structure. tRNAs have two regions of fundamental functional importance: the anti-codon, which is responsible for specific mRNA codon recognition, and the 3' end, to which the tRNAs corresponding amino acid is attached (by aminoacyl-tRNA synthetases). tRNAs cope with the degeneracy of the genetic code in two manners: having more than one tRNA (with a specific anti-codon) for a particular amino acid; and 'wobble' base-pairing, i.e. permitting non-standard base-pairing at the 3rd anti-codon position. The record is from Rfam by way of RNAcentral. Lineage: Eukaryota; Metazoa; Chordata; Mammalia; Rodentia; Sciuridae.